GAUAUUGGGCGUAAGAGCUCGUAGGCGGUUUGUCGCGUCUGCUGUGAAAGACCGGGGCUCAACUCCGGUUCUGCAGUGGGUACGGGCAGACUAGAGUGAUGUAGGGGAGACUGGAAUUCCUGGUGUAGCGGUGAAAUGCGCAGAUAUCAGGAGGAACACCGAUGGCGAAGGCAGGUCUCUGGGCAUUAACUGACGCUGAGGAGCGAAAGCAUGGGGAGCGAACAGGAUUAGAUACCCUGGUAGUCCAUGCCGUAAACGUUGGGCACUAGGUGUGGGGGACAUUCCACGUUUUCCGCGCCGUAGCUAACGCAUUAAGUGCCCCGCCUGGGGAGUACGGCCGCAAGGCUAAAACUCAAAGGAAUUGACGGGGGCCCGCACAAGCGGCGGAGCAUGCGGAUUAAUUCGAUGCAACGCGAAGAACCUUACCAAGGCUUGACAUGGGCCAGACCGCCGCAGAAAUGUGGUUUCCCCUUUGGGGCUGGUUCACAGGUGGUGCAUGGUUGUCGUCAGCUCGUGUCGUGAGAUGUUGGGUUAAGUCCCGCAACGAGCGCAACCCUCGUUCUAUGUUGCCAGCACGUGAUGGUGGGGACUCAUAGGAGACUGCCGGGGUCAACUCGGAGGAAGGUGGGGACGACGUCAAAUCAUCAUGCCCCUUAUGUCUUGGGCUUCACGCAUGCUACAAUGGCCGGUACAAAGGGUUGCGAUACUGUGAGGUGGAGCUAAUCCCAAAAAGCCGGUCUCAGUUCGGAUUGGGGUCUGCAACU
This 764-nucleotide ribosomal RNA is filed under the name Arthrobacter ramosus. RNAcentral's name for it is "bacterial SSU rRNA". It matches the Rfam family "Bacterial small subunit ribosomal RNA", at positions 547 to 1312 of the family's 1533-position model. Lineage: Bacteria; Bacillati; Actinomycetota; Actinomycetes; Micrococcales; Micrococcaceae. The record is from RNAcentral.